UCUGCCACACUCCAACAUCCCAGAUCCAGGAGGGUUGGGACAUUUGAGGGCCAGGGGACACCACUUGGGGACACAGGGGCACCCUCAGGUUCCAGGGCUCAAUUGGGAAGCCACAGACCCUGGGGGGGGGGGGUUCCCUGAGGCCACCUGGGGACAACUGAACAUGGAAAAAUCCUCUCUGAGAAACCCCUCUGGGGUGAAAUGGGCACAGGGGGUCACUUGAGGGCAUUUGGGACCCUGUUUGGGGUUAUUUCAGGUCAUUGGGGUCGUGAGAGGUCAUUUGAGGCCCCAUUUGGGGUUAUUUCAGGUCAUUGGGGUCAUUUGAGGUCACAGGGGUUACUUGAGGUCAUUGGAGUCUCUGAUCCGAGUUCCUCGGGGUUACUUUAGGUCAUUUGAAGCCCCCAUCGGGGUCAUUCGAGGUCAUUUGAGGCCCUGACUGGGGUUACUUCAGGUCAUUGGGGUCAUGAGAGGUCAUUUGAGACCAUGUUCGGGGUUACUUCAGGUCAUUGGGGUCGUGUGAGGUCAUUUGAGGUCCUGUUCGGUGUUAUUUCAGGUCAUUGGGGUCAUUUGAGGUCCUGUUCAGGCCCCAAUAAUUGAUCAGGGGUCAGAUGAGGACACAGGAGUUCAUUCUUAUGAGCUGGGGCCAAAGGACAAGGGACACUUUGUGCCCAAACACUGCCAGGCCAGUCCAGGGCAGCCCAAAGCCCCAGGGCCCUGUGGGGUCACCCAUCAUUCACCCUCUGUCCUCUCAGGGUGCUGGUUAUUAGCUUUAUUAAUAUUUUUUAUUAAUUAGUAGUGUAUUAGUGUUUAUUAAUCAUCUCCUGUACACAUCAGCAUCUAGAGUAUUGGUGUUAGCUACUAAUACAAUAUCAAUAAAUUCUAAUACCAAAUUCUAUUUACAGUAUUAUUUUUUUUAAAGAUCCAGUGGUAUAAUCACUUCUUACAGCCUAAAACUAGGAUUAUUUAUUAGAAUAAACAGAUUUAUUAGCAUUGGUAGUGAUUAGUGUAUUAUUAGCAGCCACAGGGGCAUAAAUGGGUCCUGUUGGAACCUCCAGGUGAUUAUGGAAUGUCCUUUCCCCCUUUCUGUCUGUGGGAACAAACUCCACCACUCAGCUUUGAAUCUGUACUUUAUUUUCACAUAUAUAAAAAAAAAACCUUGCAAGUUAUCAGACAAAAAACAAACAAACAAAAAAAAAAA
Cyanistes caeruleus (blue tit) is the source of this 1198-nucleotide non-coding RNA. The record is from RefSeq and is a predicted model, not a curated record. Lineage: Eukaryota; Metazoa; Chordata; Aves; Passeriformes; Paridae.